GACUUUCUUUUCCACAAUCCACAACUGCGCCACAGCGGUUAAUCCCUGCAGGACAAGAAGACGAACGACGUUUAAUCCCAUUCCAAGAGCAAGAGAAAUUCGCUCUAUUCGUCCCAGCGCUGACCUCCGUUGCAACCACGAGACCCACCGGAGCACCGCUUAAGAGGCCAGGACUUCACUCAUUUGUUUUCCAGGAAUCCGCCCGUUCGAGCACGCAUCCUGAGGUUUAACAAGAGAUUCACUGGACUUCCGGAAAAUCCGGGCCCCACGCGCAAGCAACACCACGGAGGUCACAAUGGCCAUGGCUUUAUCAUCGAACACUGGAGGUCCUUGAAGGCCACAGUCAAAACAGGAUAUUGAUGUUGGCAAUUGGACUCCUGCUUUCAUCCGGGCCAUCCAAGGGCUCUCCUGCCGUGCCCAUAGCCAGACAUGCAGCUCUCUCCCCUGGGAGCAGUGGCAGACAGCACCUGUGGACAAGCGACCAUGCAGAGACAGGGGUUGUGGGGAUAAACAGGGGUCCCCAGCUACUCUUAAAUGAUCACUAGGUGGACAUUUUAGGGAAGGAGUGCAGUCUUUUUGCAGUCAACACCAGCAGUUCAAUUUGAGGUUAGUAGCAGGCUAGGUUCAUUACUCUUUUAAUGCCUUUCUAACAGUUGUAACUGCAGACAUGAUGGCUGACUGGAUGUGAGGUGACAGCGGUGCUGAACCUUACAAACAGGAUGAAAGCUGACAGCACUGAUGUGUAAAGCCUGCUGGAUAAAUGAGCAACAUCAGAAAGGCAGGAAUUUUUCCAAAGCUUUGACUUUUACGAGAAUAGAACAGAAGAAAUCUUAUCAUUGUCAUCGCACAGAGUAGUACUAAAUUAAGUAGCAAUUAUGUAGCUGGAUUCACAAAAAUCAAAGAGGAGAGGCAAUUAACAUAUAUAAGUAUAUGUUCUUUUCCAUGCCUUUUUAAUAUUUAAAAUAAAAUGAAAUAUGUUCCAUGGCACUGGCUGUGUGCUGACUGCAGGUACAGGUGCAAUAUAUCCACCUGAUGGAAUGGAAAAGAAUGCAACACUGUUUCAGUAUGAAUAGAAAUUCUGCCAUUGCAUUAAUCUCUCCAUAUUGGAGAUGGCAAACUUAUUUACAUAUUGCAGUACUUAAUUUUAAAUGGUAUAGGAAAUGUUCUGUACAAUAUGCAUUCAAAUUUCUGUUCAACUAUCCAUGUUUACCUUUUUUUUAUUUUGCAAUAAAAAAUUAAAUGCUGGAAAAUGAAGGAAUUUAUGAUGUCUGAUGAGGAACAUUAUUCUGAAGCUUGAAUAAUAGAAAGGCUAUUGAACAUGAUUGUUUUAAUCAGACAGACUUAGAUACUGAUAAGAACGUGAGCCAGCAGCUGUCAUAUGGAAAAAAUGCUCUGAUUGUUCAUCACUUUGAGACAGCCAUUGACCAGGUGGUGCUUGGACCUAAUGACAUUGAUUACAUGAAACCUAAUUCCUGAUCUGAUAACCCUGGAAAAUUAAGAGUGCAAAUUGCUUUUUAAUUAAACAAUAAUUACUUGAACAUUAAUGAGACACAUGCUGCAUGUAAAUCAAUAACAGGAGGAAUUUUACUUAAAUGAAAAGAUUCAAAGUUAAAAAUCUACGUGUAAAUUAAUGAGGUCAUCUUUGAUUUAGAUUGAGAAAGUCUAUCUGGUUUUAGAUGUGCAAAGUUAUUUUACUUCAUUCAAGGGAAUGCCUUUUAUUAAUUAACAAUUUUAUCUUAGUGAGGAUUAUGUUGAGCUAUAUCUAGAGGAAAUACAAUUUGUGACAGGACUUCCAGUAUGUAUCCACAUUUAACUCUAUCUGUAAAAAAUAAAUUGAUGUCAAGUUUUAGACUUCACACAAGGUCAUCAACCUGUCACAUUGACAACAGUAGUCUCUCAGAUAUUUCAGGUCCCAUUAAAACCUAUGGUGUCGUAAUAAUCAUUCAAAACUAACCCUCUAAGAUGCAGCCACAAUAGCACAACAAUUUUUAUACAGCAAAAUGUGCAAUACAUCUACAUCAUUAUCGUGCUUUGAGCUAAAUGCUGUUGUCAGUAGAUAAACGUCAUGGUGACAAAAGAGGAGAGGCCAGAGAGAAAUAAUACUCCAUUCAAAGACAUUCUCUAGGGACCAUGAAUGUCCAGACAAAUGUUUCUUGACAUCUAGUAUUUGAUGAGACAUGUGGUGGAUGCACUGAUCAGUAUUUUGAGAGCUGGACCCACAUCAGCAUCAGUCAUUUGGUGGUGUAAUGUGAGCACAUGUCUCAUGGCAGUUUUCGUUUGACUGUAGUUUUUUUUUUUUUAUUGCUUGGGCAAGGCUGUAUAUACUUUAGGUGUUACAUAUGCAAAGUUUUAUUAUCAAGAAUCAAGAACAUGACGCCUCUUAGAAUUUAUUAUUUAUUUAUUUAAUAUUCAUUUACUGCACGGGCACUAUGAUCAGCUUGUUUAAAAUGAAAUAAAGGUAAUUUCUGAAAUGUUUAGAGUUACAUUUGAGGGGGCAUGUUUACAGUGUAAGUUAGAGGGACCAUUUAGUUUGUACACCUGCAUCACCUGAAAUGGAAUGUGAACUGUAAAUCUUUUUCUUGGCAAAUGAAUUAAUUCUGUUUUUUCACUUCCCACUAGAGUUUCAUAAAAGCUAAUUGAUUAAUAUUCAA
This is a long non-coding RNA of Platichthys flesus (European flounder), 2651 nucleotides long. RefSeq lists it as uncharacterized. Lineage: Eukaryota; Metazoa; Chordata; Actinopteri; Pleuronectiformes; Pleuronectidae. The record is from RefSeq and is a predicted model, not a curated record. The transcript has 3 exons.